Molecule: small nuclear RNA, 23 nt
Filed under: Arabidopsis thaliana (thale cress)
Lineage: Eukaryota; Viridiplantae; Streptophyta; Magnoliopsida; Brassicales; Brassicaceae
Description: snRNA_16121
Source: RNAcentral
UUCGAAUAGAUCCAGGUUUUCUC